RNAcentral lists this transfer RNA (88 nucleotides) under Ascodesmis nigricans. It matches the Rfam family "tRNA". From Rfam's summary of the family: Transfer RNA (tRNA) molecules are approximately 80 nucleotides in length. Their secondary structure includes four short double-helical elements and three loops (D, anti-codon, and T loops). Further hydrogen bonds mediate the characteristic L-shaped molecular structure. tRNAs have two regions of fundamental functional importance: the anti-codon, which is responsible for specific mRNA codon recognition, and the 3' end, to which the tRNAs corresponding amino acid is attached (by aminoacyl-tRNA synthetases). tRNAs cope with the degeneracy of the genetic code in two manners: having more than one tRNA (with a specific anti-codon) for a particular amino acid; and 'wobble' base-pairing, i.e. permitting non-standard base-pairing at the 3rd anti-codon position. Lineage: Eukaryota; Fungi; Ascomycota; Pezizomycetes; Pezizales; Ascodesmidaceae. The record is from Rfam by way of RNAcentral.
GUCAAGAUGGCCGAGUGGUUAAGGCGUUCGCCUCGAAUGAUGACAGCGAAUGGGUUCGCCCGCGCAGGUUCGAAUCCUGUUCUUGACG